AGCUUGCCUGGAGCCCGGAGAUCUCGAGGUGGCAGUUCCUAACAGGGUGACCCUCGGGCAGACCAUGACUGCCAGCUCUGUCUCCUCUGAAAUUCACCUGUUUGGGUUCUAAGGGCUGCAUGCACAUUCUACGGACCUGGGACUGAAACUGUGCUGUCAGGAAAGAGAAGACAUAACUGGGAGAGGCUGCCAAUUCUUAUCUCCUGAGCCUUAGACUGAAGGGUUUUGGAUCAAGGUGCCCACGAACUCUAGGAACAAAGUUCUUCAGUCUGCAGUACCAAGUCUGGAAAAACACACUGAAACCAAAUGGGAAUGGCAACAGAAGAAUGUGGCGCACGAUGACAGCUCUAGGAGAGCGUGAGUAAAGCAGAAAAGCAUCGUUAAGGGGGGAGUCCCACAGAGGGAGGGACUAAGUCCUCGGAAGACCUGCUUUCUGUAGACUUUAACUCUCAGUGAGGGCAGACCAGCCACAGAAGCUCCUGGCCGCAGGUGAGAAACGCAGCCUCGGAAUCCGCGUUUUAACAAGGUGCCCAGGGGAUCUGCUCUACAGGGGAGCGGGCCCAAGCCCCACUGCCUCGCAGGCAUCUGAACUUCAGAAACAAGCAGAGGUUGGGUCCCUAUUCCAGUCAAGCGAGUCCAUCGGAACGUUUCUGGAGGUUUCACAAUUGCUGAGGGUGAUUGUGAUGCGCGCCCUGGUGGACAGCUGCUGCUCCAGGACAAAUGAAGAUCUAGUCUCAAAAGACAAAAGCUAUUCAUGCUGAUACGAUACGUAUAUUUGGGAGAAAAUACAGUUAAUAGGGAGUGGCCAGGAAUU
Equus caballus (horse) is the source of this 814-nucleotide non-coding RNA. Lineage: Eukaryota; Metazoa; Chordata; Mammalia; Perissodactyla; Equidae. The record is from RefSeq and is a predicted model, not a curated record.